CUCGUAGGCGGUUGGGUAAGUCGGGUGUGAAAACUCCAGGCUCAACUUGGAGACGCCACCCGAUACUGCUCUGACUUGAGUUCGGUAGGGGAGUGGGGAAUUCCUGGUGUAGCGGUGAAAUGCGCAGAUAUCAGGAGGAACACCGGUGGCGAAGGCGCCACUCUGGGCCGAAACUGACGCUGAGGAGCGAAACGGUGGGUGGUCAAACAC
Molecule: ribosomal RNA, 210 nt
Filed under: uncultured bacterium
Lineage: Bacteria
Description: partial 16S ribosomal RNA
Rfam family: Bacterial small subunit ribosomal RNA
Source: RNAcentral